This 68-nucleotide transfer RNA is filed under the name Mus musculus (house mouse). Its description in RNAcentral is "tRNA-Thr". The record is from RNAcentral. Lineage: Eukaryota; Metazoa; Chordata; Mammalia; Rodentia; Muridae.
GGAUGGCUCAGUUGCUAAAGUGCUUGCCUUGUAGGCAUGAGGACCUGGGUUCAAUCCCUAGGAAGCCA